CUUCAUUCACGCGCCGCACGCAAGCCCAUUGACGACACGUUGUUUUCACACUGUAAGCACCAGUAAGCCAGACCGACUGGCGUUACGGCCGCCUUCACCACAAGCAACUAAACAAAUGCGAAGCCCAGGGUGCUUCAGUGCGACACACCCUAGCCCACCAACUCUGUGACGGACACCCCACCAAAAAGGCAGGGGAAGAGAGGCGUCAAAGCCGCCAGCGCAGCUGCGUUCCACAAGGGAAGCGAACGAAUCUCCUGAACGCCAAGCCCCCGCACACGAGGGUAAUGCAGCAGCCACGCCCCCGCAAGCGGCAACGAGAGCCAGCGGCAGUCGAAAGCCAUCCUGAUGAGCAGGAAGGUUCGCUUGUUGGUGCCCAGCAUGGACCGCGAGCAUGGGGCGCAUUACAUGGUAGUCGGCGGGGUCGAGUCCCUGCCGCAUUACGGCACCACGGAACCGACUACUCGAGAGAAAGGCAAACGUCGCGCAUCUUGUACAGCUUCUCGGCGGUAGCGCACGCAACGGUGGCAAGCGCGCCGUGGAGGAACCCGUGUCGACGUGGUUUCGGUGUCUAUCGCGCAUAAAAAGGUCAUCUAACUGGCUCUCGUCACAACUGUGGCCUUGCAUGCUCGUUCGUGGGCGAGGAAAUCGCAUUGAUGCAAUGCUGCCGCGGUCACACGAGCGUUGGCAACGACGCUGAGAAGCUCGCAAUAUGUGCGUUGUGAGAGCGGACACCAGCCGCAUAGCUUACAGGGACUGCUGUCGUCCCAAAACGCCGAAACCAUACCCUAUCAUCCACACCGCGGGUGCCGCAGCUACGAUCCUUGGGCGCGGGGUCCUUUUGGUGCACUAGAUGGAUUGGUGCACGGAGCGAGCUCUAAUCUUUGCUGCGUCGACUCAGCAGCUUGCAGGAAGAAAUGAGGCAGGGCAAGAUAUAGUGAGACGCACUGUCUCAUGCGGCGGCGGAUGGUUUGUCAUAAACACCUGGGAUUGCGGCGCGUUGCUGCGACGGCACUGAAACUGCGGUUGUUUCCGUGAAGGUGGUCGUGGGUUGGUGCGUGAAAGAAGCAAACAAGCGACCAAGGCGGACGAAGGUCGUAAGGCUUCUGAGCUGCGUGAUGUGGGGAGAACGCUGACCACCAUUGCCAGCGACAGACUUGCAGCGGCUGCGCGAGGUGUGGACGUGUUUGUUCUUGAAUGGUGGUUAGGGGGGGGGGGCUCUAGGUUUCGCGUGUUUUGCCGACUUUCGGCGUGGCCGAGCCCAGUGGAGCCGGUGGGGGUCCACGGGCGUCUAUGGCGCCACGGUCCGGAAAACCCCAGGGGGCUGCUGAAUAAAAUUGGCAGCGAGGAGGGGGUAGUGGUGGCCAGCAGGUUCGGAGGAAGAGUGCGGGCGGAAAGCUUCAUGGCGGCUGACGUGGGUGCACCGCCUAUGUGUCUGCACAGAGCAUCUAUGAUGUGCUGGCGGUGACUUGAGGUGAGGCAACUUGUGUGAUCGAUUUUUCGGCGCUUUUAUAAUGGUAGCAGAAAACAGUGAAAACGGUGAAGGGUGUGGGAAAGAAUGGGGGUACAAGUAUAUCGCUCUCAUGGAAAUCACCUUCAGCAAUCAAAAAGGGAGAGAACGAUUUCACAAAAUAAGGGCAUGAUGAUGCAUUCCAAUACAUGCGCCUCGUUCUUCCCAGCUGGCGAGUUUUUGUAUCACUGAUCAAGAAUAUACCAAGCUGCUAUGCUUCGCCUUAAUCUCACGAUAAUACUACGCAAGAAUACGAAGACCUACCUUUUUUUUUCCUCCAUUCAAG
RNAcentral lists this unclassified non-coding RNA (1793 nucleotides) under Leishmania donovani. Its description in RNAcentral is "gene:unknown". Lineage: Eukaryota; Euglenozoa; Kinetoplastea; Trypanosomatida; Trypanosomatidae. The record is from RNAcentral.